ACUUUUACCGAAGGCCUUCCAUGUGUCUAACUGCAGUUCUCUCUGUUGCAAGUUAAGCCGGAACUGAAAGACCAGAAACCAGCCUGCCCUAGUCAAAGAAAGUUAGGGCCCAACCAGCCUCUCCCCAAGAAGCAGGGUAAGGUGGGGCAUUCAUCUCUCUGGACCCUUUUCCCCAGCCUGAGCCAGCCUUUGGGUGAGUUUCCUGCUAUUGGGAAAAUUCCUCCUCCAGUCUAACUAUGAUCACUUACAGUGAAGUUCAUUUCUGCCUCUCAGGGUCUCCCAUUUCUCUGGAGAAACCAGAAGCACAGAGAGGCCUGGGACAGAGCCUUCGGUUAGCAGGGUCCUGCCUGAUUCUGGCCCCAAAGGGCGUGGGAGAAGAAGGGAGGGAGGGGAGACCCAACCCAGAUCCAGCAGUUCUCUGCCCUGGCUCAGCAGUGGGGCCAGGCUGCAGGUUUCAAGCCCAACUCAGCACUCUUGUAGGUGCCAAUUUUAGCCUCUGCCACUAUUUUUGGGCUCCACUACCUCACCACUGGCUGAGCUGGUUGGGCUCCUCACCCCCAGCACUACCCCCACACUGCCCCUCCGGCUUCCCCUCCUUCCUAGCAACUCCUUCACCUCCUUCUUCACCCAUUCCCCUGUUUAGAAUCCUUAAAUAGCAAAGACCAGGAAAAAGGAAGAGGAAAUAAACCGUGCCCAGUUCAGGCUGGAUGGACAUUAGAAAGCAGGAAGGACUUCCCCAGGGCCACAGCUUGUUCUUCCUGGCUUGCACCUGCCAAGUAUACCUACGGGGAGGGUGUAGGAACUCCCCCAAACCAAGAGGCCUGAGGCUCCUGGCCCCAGAACUCCAGACUCACCUCCCCUGAGGUGGGCAGCCAAGACUCAGGAAUGUACUAAAUUUAAAAACAGACAGCCAGAGGCUAGAAUCUUGGCCUCAAGGUUCCACCCACUGGAGGCCCAGAGACAAGAUCUGGGGUGGGACCUCAGCUUCUCUCCCAGGCCUGGGGCAGGAGGGUGCUGCAAGCUAUGGAUAGAAUCUUAAAGGGCCACACUCCAGCCUGGGUACCCAGGAAACAUAGAAUUUGAACCCUGGGGUUUUUCAAGCGACCUCAUGGUCCCUCAACUCAACUAAGAAGGUCUCUAUGAAAGAAGAGGACCCGACCCUCCAACUCUUUUCUGUCUCCCACCCCAACCUUCAGUCUACUUUCCAUCCCACCUGCUGUUACCCUACCCCUCACCCUAUGCCCUCUUCUUCCCCUUAGGAGAUGAAUAACAAGGAAAGGGACUAGGGACAGGGAAAAGAAAAGUGUUCUGCCUUUAAAAACACCUGUGUUUAGUGAGCUUGGCCUGCAGCUUGACUCAGUUUCCGUUUUCUAUAUCCUCUUGAACAAUGAACACUUUUCCCUUCUCCUUGGUGUCACCUGCCCCCCUUUUCCAAGACCCUUCUUCAUUCCAGCGCCCCCUCUACUCCUAUCCAGUGAUAUCUUCCAGAUUUUCAGAAAUAAUUUUUUAGAUACACAGAAACAAACAUUUCUACCAGGAUCUAAAAAUAGCCAUCACCUUCUUUAGCCCAUUUAACUUGACGAAAUGUGUCCCUCCCAUUUCAGGGGUAGGGAGGAGGUCCCAGGGAAGAACCUGGUUGCCAAAGUCUCGGCCAGUUGGAGAAGAGAUGGGUCUCCCGAGGAUACCCAAGCCCAAGCUCUACACUGUCCCAAGAGUCUCUGCCCUCAUUCCCCUUCACCAGGUUGCUCAACCCUCCAUCAGACUGUUAGGUCAAGGGUGGACAAACAGACCAACCGGGAUCUGGAUGGCCCCUGGGCAGUACUGACUUCCCCUACCAUUCCCAUGGCAAGAAAAGGGAGUGAUUCCACUAGCAGACUCCCCUACCCUGCAGUGAGACAGCCUGUAGGAAGGUGAGACUCAGACCCCAAGGUUUCUGCUUUUGCUUUGUUCCUUCGAGAUCUCCAUUCCCCCAUGGGAGAGAAACCUCUCUGUCCCACCUGCCCUCCCCUCCCAUCAGCUUUCAGAUUCUCCAGCUGCUCCUCUUCUGAGACUCACCCAGUCUCAUGCCUCCAUUAGCCUCAACUCCCGACCCAUGGCCUGUGGUGAGAGGUGCUAACAACAUGACCUGCUUUCAUCUUGACCUUCCCAGCCCACCCAGAGAAAAGGGAAUCUUGGCUAAAAAAAGGCUGGAAGAGGGGAGAACCCUGGCACUGCGGGUGGGGCUGGGAGGAGCCCAGGCAACCUUACUGGUGAGAAUCUCAUGGCUCUUCAAGGUGAAUAUGAUGAUGAUUUCCCUGGGGUUUCUUUCAAUACUCAGAAGCCGCCCCGAGUUGGAAAGCACAUGCAUACUUGGGGAGGCCAGGGGAGGAAAAGGGGGGCGGCUCACUCUGACAGUAAAUGAAGAAAGUGGAAACAAAUUCAAGGAGCAGGCAGAGCUCCCGGUUUCACCAGAGCCCAACGGUUGGUAAUAAGGAUGAGAACAAUGUGCCUUCACUUCCUGGGAUCAGAACAGCACAUGGCCGCACAUGUACGGGUAUGCAUGUGCUUCCAUAAUCAUAUACUUUCCCAGCUUCUACUCUGCCUGUGGUCUAAUUUCAACUCCUUCAGCUGCUGUACCCACCCAUAAAAUUAUGAGUGUAAAAGCACUUUGCAAACCCUGAUACUCUAUGAAGAAGUAAAAAGUAGUGCUGUAAUUAUUAUCAUUAUUAUGUCCAAUGGUUGAGGUUUCCGCUGCCCACCUGUCAGCUAUGUGAGGCCUAAAGAGAGGGAGGGCUAGGCCAUUCCUCAGCUUCUGAGGUUCCUGGCCCUUUUCCCCUUCCAUCUGUCCACAGCUGACUGCUAAGCUGGAUGCGUAGGGGAAAGCAGAGAAAAGGUGAUUUACUGGGACACAGAGACACAGGCUGGAAGAGAUAGCAUGUGUUUCCUUAAAAUUUGAAGCAUUUGGCUGGGCACAGUGGCUCACACCUGUAAUCCCUGCACUUUGGGAGGUAAAGGCAAGAGGAUUUCCUGGGCCCAAGAGUUAGAGGCUGCAGUGAGCUAUGAUUGUGCCAUUGUACUCCAGCCUGGGAGACAGAAACCCCCUCUCUUAAAAAAAUAAAAAAAUAAAAAAUGGAACCAUUGCUCUGAGUUUCUAAUAGGGGGAGU
RNAcentral lists this long non-coding RNA (3144 nucleotides) under Homo sapiens (human). Its description in RNAcentral is "non-protein coding lnc-RXFP4-2:11". The record is from RNAcentral. Lineage: Eukaryota; Metazoa; Chordata; Mammalia; Primates; Hominidae.